Molecule: ribosomal RNA, 643 nt
Filed under: Fusarium graminearum
Lineage: Eukaryota; Fungi; Ascomycota; Sordariomycetes; Hypocreales; Nectriaceae
Description: eukaryotic LSU rRNA
Rfam family: Eukaryotic large subunit ribosomal RNA
Source: RNAcentral
AACUUCUGAAUGUUGACCUCGGAUCAGGUAGGAAUACCCGCUGAACUUAAGCAUAUCAAUAAGCGGAGGAAAAGAAACCAACAGGGAUUGCCCUAGUAACGGCGAGUGAAGCGGCAACAGCUCAAAUUUGAAAUCUGGCUUUCGGGCCCGAGUUGUAAUUUGUAGAGGAUGAUUUUGAUGCGGUGCCUUCCGAGUUCCCUGGAACGGGACGCCAUAGAGGGUGAGAGCCCCGUCUGGUUGGAUGCCAAAUCUCUGUAAAUCUCCUUCGACGAGUCGAGUAGUUUGGGAAUGCUGCUCUAAAUGGGAGGUAUAUGUCUUCUAAAGCUAAAUACCGGCCAGAGACCGAUAGCGCACAAGUAGAGUGAUCGAAAGAUGAAAAGCACUUUGAAAAGAGAGUUAAAAAGUACGUGAAAUUGUUGAAAGGGAAGCGUUUAUGACCAGACUUGGGCUUGGUUAAUCAUCUGGGGUUCUCUCCAGUGCACUUUUCCAGUCCAGGCCAGCAUCAGUUUUCGCCGGGGGAUAAAGGCUUCGGGAAUGUGGCUCCCCUCGGGGAGUGUUAUAGCCCGUUGUGUAAUACCCUGGCGGGGACUGAGGUUCGCGCUUCUGCAAGGAUGCUGGCGUAAUGGUCAUCAACGACCCGUCU